CGCGUAGGCGGUUUGCACAGUCAGGCGUGAAAUUCCCGGGCUUAACCUGGGGGCUGCGUUUGAUACUCGCAGACUAGAGGAUGGAAGAGGGUCGUGGAAUUCCCAGUGUAGAGGUGAAAUUCGUAGAUAUUGGGAAGAACACCGGUGGCGAAGGCAGCGACCUGGUCCAUUACUGACGCUGAGGCGCGACAGCGUGGGGAGCAAACA
RNAcentral lists this ribosomal RNA (207 nucleotides) under uncultured bacterium. RNAcentral's name for it is "partial 16S ribosomal RNA". It matches the Rfam family "Bacterial small subunit ribosomal RNA", at positions 568 to 774 of the family's 1533-position model. The record is from RNAcentral.